This 515-nucleotide ribosomal RNA is filed under the name Babelomurex lischkeanus. RNAcentral describes it as "partial 12S ribosomal RNA". The record is from RNAcentral. Lineage: Eukaryota; Metazoa; Mollusca; Gastropoda; Neogastropoda; Muricidae.
AACCAAGGGGCCUAGUUAUUUUUUGCGGUAAAAACAGUUAAGAAGAAACGUUGGUUUAAUAAAACUAAUAUUAUAAAGUAAAAUUUGAAUAUUAAAGUAAGCCUUUUUCAAAGCCUUUUCGAAGCUGUGAAACCCUUGAGGGAAACUGGGAUUAGAUACCCCACUAUUCAGGGGCAUAAAAAUUUUUACCAGGGUACUACGAACGUGUGUUUAAAACUCAAAGGGCUUGGCGGUGCUUUAGACCUCCCAGGGGAACCUGUCCCAUAAUCGAUAGUCCACGAGACACCUGACCACAUUUAUUGGUUUGUAUACCGUCGUCUUGGCAACUUUCAAGAAGAAAAAAGUUGACAGUACACCCUUAAGGUUUGACGUCAGAUCAAGGUGCAGCUCAUAGUGUGGGGAGGAUGGGUUACAAUUAUAAAUUAUAUUACCAAGGUUGUUUGAAAGAGCAUCCGAAAGUAGGACUUGGAAGUAAGUAGAAAUAUAAAAAUAUUCUGAAUACGGCCCUGAAGUGU